This is a long non-coding RNA of Cydia pomonella (codling moth), 688 nucleotides long. RefSeq lists it as uncharacterized. NCBI's taxonomy places the organism in Eukaryota, Metazoa, Arthropoda, Insecta, Lepidoptera, Tortricidae. The record is from RefSeq and is a predicted model, not a curated record. The transcript is spliced from 4 exons.
UCAGAUUUCUUUUAUCAUUAUCACAUCUAUUUUAUUCGAACUUGUCCAACGUUAGCGUGAAGUUAUAGUUAACAAGACUUGAAGAAUAUUCAACAAAUCGGACGUGACCUAAAUUUCGGUCUGAUAAAGUCUUGAGUGAUAAUAACGCCACUAAAGCAUCGAAGGUCUUGCGACAAGCUACAGUGAGUUUGGUUUUUGGGCGUUCCAACACGAGGAAAGCAGCCAAGUUGGCAGUGUAGGAAGCAACAAUGAUCAUAGCAAAGCCUGCCCACACCAUGCCAAGCACUCUCGCCGAGAAACUGCGUGGCGUUCCUAUAAUUAGAAAAAAAAUGUUUGUAAAAUUGAAGAUUAGAAGUGACUAACUUACCUACGUGUAUAACAUCGACCCACACAUCAGCCUGAUGAGAAUAUGGAGGCACUGUCCGUAAGAACGAGACGUGAAUGUUCUUGUCAGAAAAGGCAGAGUCUCUUGAAGAUAUACCGAUCACUGGGAUGUGGUAAAAUCCACUCGUGUAUGAGACGGCUGCCGGAGACAGGUCUCCAGUCAAAGGAUGGGAUACUACGACAGCAUACACCUGAAAGUGUUCAAGACCAAGCCCAAGCUCCGUGUUGAGGCGGUGUCCAGGUGGGCGCGGGCCAGGCCCAGGGCGCCCAGGAUGGUUGCAGCGCGGCCGCAGCGGCAGAGGCG